UACAGAGGUCCCAAGCGUUGUUCGGAUUCACUGGGCGUAAAGGGUGCGUAGGUGGUGGGGUAAGUCUGACGUGAAAUCUCCAAGCUCAACUUGGAAAUGGCGUCGGAUACUAUUCGGCUCGAGGAAUGGAGGGGAGACUGGAAUUCUCGGUGUAGCAGUGAAAUGCGUAGAUAUCGAGAGGAACACCAGUGGCGAAGGCGAGUCUCUGGACAUUUCCUGACGCUGAGGCACGAAAGCCAGGGGAGCAAACGGG
Molecule: ribosomal RNA, 253 nt
Filed under: uncultured bacterium
Lineage: Bacteria
Description: partial 16S ribosomal RNA
Rfam family: Bacterial small subunit ribosomal RNA
Source: RNAcentral